This 253-nucleotide ribosomal RNA is filed under the name uncultured bacterium. RNAcentral's name for it is "partial 16S ribosomal RNA". It matches the Rfam family "Bacterial small subunit ribosomal RNA", at positions 524 to 776 of the family's 1533-position model. The record is from RNAcentral.
UACGAAGGGGGCUAGCGUUGUUCGGAAUUACUGGGCGUAAAGCGUGCGCAGGCGGGCUUUUAAGCCAGACGUGAAAUCCCCGGGCUUAACCUGGGAAUGGCAUUUGGGACUGCAAGGCUGGAGUUUGGCAGAGGAGACUGGAAUUCCUGGUGUAGCAGUGAAAUGCGUAGAUAUCAGGAGGAAUACCGACGGCGAAGGCAGGUCUCUGGGCUAUAACUGACGCUCAUGCACGAAAGCGUGGGGAGCAAACAGG